UGGUCUUAGCUUGCUAAGGCUGAUGGCGACCGGCGCACGGGUGAGUAACACGUAUCCUCGUUUGAGGCUACUCUUGGCCAGCCUUCUGAAAGGAAGAUUACUCCAGGAUGGCAUCAUGAGUUCACAUGUCCGCAUGAUUAAAGGUAUUUUCCGGUAGACGAUGAGGAUGCGUUCCAUUAGAUAGUAGGCGGGGUAACGGCCCACCUAGUCAACGAUGGAUAGGGGUUCUGAGAGGAAGGUCCCCCACAUUGGAACUGAGACACGGUCCAAACUCCUACGGGAGGCAGCAGUGAGGAAUAUUGGUCAAUGGGCGAUGGCCUGAACCAGCCAAGUAGCGUGAAGGAUGACUGCCCUAUGGGUUGUAAACUUCUUUUAUAAAGGAAUAAAGUCGGGUAUGCAUACCCGUUUGCAUGUACUUUAUGAAUAAGGAUCGGCUAACUCCGUGCCAGCAGCCGCGGUAAUACGGAGGAUCCGAGCGUUAUCCGGAUUUAUUGGGUUUAAAGGGAGCGUAGAUGGAUGUUUAAGUCAGUUGUGAAAGUUUGCGGCUCAACCGUAAAAUUGCAGUUGAUACUGGAUGUCUUGAGUGCAGUUGAGGCAGGCGGAAUUCGUGGUGUAGCGGUGAAAUGCUUAGAUAUCACGAAGAACUCCGAUUG
RNAcentral lists this ribosomal RNA (653 nucleotides) under uncultured Bacteroides sp. RNAcentral's name for it is "bacterial SSU rRNA". It matches the Rfam family "Bacterial small subunit ribosomal RNA", at positions 67 to 715 of the family's 1533-position model. The record is from RNAcentral. Lineage: Bacteria; Pseudomonadati; Bacteroidota; Bacteroidia; Bacteroidales; Bacteroidaceae.